RNAcentral lists this ribosomal RNA (482 nucleotides) under uncultured bacterium. Its description in RNAcentral is "partial 16S ribosomal RNA". It matches the Rfam family "Bacterial small subunit ribosomal RNA", at positions 30 to 507 of the family's 1533-position model. The record is from RNAcentral.
AUUGAACGCUGGCGGCAUGCCUUACACAUGCAGGUCGAACGGUAACAGGUCUUCGGAUGCUGACGAGUGGCGAACGGGUGAGUAAUACAUCGGAACGUGCCCGAUCGUGGGGGAUAACGAGGCGAAAGCUUUGCUAAUACCGCAUACGAUCUACGGAUGAAAGCGGGGGAUCUUCGGACCUCGCGCGGACGGAGCGGCCGAUGGCAGAUUAGGUAGUUGGUGGGAUAAAAGCUUACCAAGCCGACGAUCUGUAGCUGGUCUGAGAGGAUGAUCAGCCACACUGGGACUGAGACCCGGCCCAGACUCCUACGGGAGGCAGCAGUGGGGAAUUUUGGACAAUGGGCGAAAGCCUGAUCCAGCCAUGCCGCGUGCAGGAUGAAGGCCUUCGGGUUGUAAACUGCUUUUGUACGGAACGAAAAGCCUCUUUCUAAUAAAGAGGGGUCAUGACGGUACCGUAAGAAUAAGCACCGGCUAACUACGUG